RNAcentral lists this ribosomal RNA (460 nucleotides) under uncultured bacterium. Its description in RNAcentral is "partial 16S ribosomal RNA". It matches the Rfam family "Bacterial small subunit ribosomal RNA", at positions 338 to 795 of the family's 1533-position model. The record is from RNAcentral.
CCUACGGGUGGCUGCAGUGAGGAAUAUUGGUCAAUGGACGAGAGUCUGAACCAGCCAAGUAGCGUGAAGGAUGACUGCCCUAUGGGUUGUAAACUUCUUUUAUAUGGGAAUAAAAUGUUCCACGUGUGGGAUUUUGUAUGUACCAUAUGAAUAAGGAUCGGCUAACUCCGUGCCAGCAGCCGCGGUAAUACGGAGGAUCCGAGCGUUAUCCGGAUUUAUUGGGUUUAAAGGGAGCGUAGGUGGAUUGUUAAGUCAGUUGUGAAAGUUUGGGGCUCAACCGUAAAAUUGCAGUUGAAACUGGCAGUCUUGAGUACAGUAGAGGUGAGCGGAAUGCGUGGUGUAGCGGUGAAAUGCUUAGAUAUCACGAAGAACUCCGAUUGCGAAGGCAGUUCACUGGACUGCAACUGACACUGAGGCUCGAAAGUGUGGGUAUCAAACAGGAUUAGAUACCCGGGUAGUC